UACGUAGGUCACGAGCGUUGUCCGGAUUUACUGGGCGUAAAGGGAGUGUAGGCGGUCUUGUAAGUCUGCUGUGAAAGCCCACGGCUCAACCGGGGAAGGUCAUUGGAAACUGGAAGGCUAGAGUGCGGAAGAGGAGAGCGGAAUUCCAUGUGUAGCGGUGAAAUGCGUAGAUAUGUGGAGGAACACCAGUGGCGAAGGCGGCUCUCUGGUCCGUAACUGACGCUGAGGCUCGAAAGCGUGGGGAGCAAACAGG
RNAcentral lists this ribosomal RNA (253 nucleotides) under uncultured bacterium. RNAcentral's name for it is "partial 16S ribosomal RNA". It matches the Rfam family "Bacterial small subunit ribosomal RNA", at positions 524 to 776 of the family's 1533-position model. The record is from RNAcentral.